Molecule: ribosomal RNA, 301 nt
Filed under: uncultured bacterium
Lineage: Bacteria
Description: partial 16S ribosomal RNA
Rfam family: Bacterial small subunit ribosomal RNA
Source: RNAcentral
CAGUAGCCGCGGUAAUACAGAGGGUGCGAGCGUUAAUCGGAUUUACUGGGCGUAAAGCGUGCGUAGGCGGCUUCUUAAGUCGGAUGUGAAAUCCCUGAGCUUAACUUAGGAAUUGCAUUCGAUACUGGGAAGCUAGAGUAUGGGAGAGGAUGGUAGAAUUCCAGGUGUAGCGGUGAAAUGCGUAGAGAUCUGGAGGAAUACCGAUGGCGAAGGCAGCCAUCUGGCCUAAUACUGACGCUCAUGCACGAAAGCGUUGGGAGCAAACAGGAUUAGAUACCCCUGUAGUCCCUGUCUCUUAUAC